This 206-nucleotide long non-coding RNA is filed under the name Lathyrus oleraceus (garden pea). Its description in RNAcentral is "Pisum sativum (pea) long non-coding RNA (PSAT_LNC034345)". The record is from RNAcentral. Lineage: Eukaryota; Viridiplantae; Streptophyta; Magnoliopsida; Fabales; Fabaceae.
ACAGCAGGAGGAUCACGCGGAGUUACCAGCUUCUUAUCAAUUAAGGAAGGAUAAAGUUCAACAUACGUCAUCGGAAUCGGGUCAAAAGUCACCCUCUUCCUCUCAUAGUUGCUAGUGUUGGUGUUGUUAUUAUUGCGAGGCUGGUAAGCCUGUUGUUGUUGACGAUGUUGUCUUGUGGUUAUUGUUGAACUUCUCUGAAAGCAGGU